UGGGGAGUGGUGUAAUCGGCUGGCACGCCAGGUUUUGGUCCUGGAAGACGGGGUUCAAAUCCUCGCUCCCCAG
RNAcentral lists this transfer RNA (73 nucleotides) under Solirubrobacterales bacterium. RNAcentral's name for it is "tRNA-Gln". It matches the Rfam family "tRNA". Rfam says of the family: Transfer RNA (tRNA) molecules are approximately 80 nucleotides in length. Their secondary structure includes four short double-helical elements and three loops (D, anti-codon, and T loops). Further hydrogen bonds mediate the characteristic L-shaped molecular structure. tRNAs have two regions of fundamental functional importance: the anti-codon, which is responsible for specific mRNA codon recognition, and the 3' end, to which the tRNAs corresponding amino acid is attached (by aminoacyl-tRNA synthetases). tRNAs cope with the degeneracy of the genetic code in two manners: having more than one tRNA (with a specific anti-codon) for a particular amino acid; and 'wobble' base-pairing, i.e. permitting non-standard base-pairing at the 3rd anti-codon position. RNAcentral also lists the same sequence under 2 other names. Lineage: Bacteria; Bacillati; Actinomycetota; Thermoleophilia; Solirubrobacterales. The record is from RNAcentral.